This 505-nucleotide ribosomal RNA is filed under the name uncultured bacterium. RNAcentral describes it as "partial 16S ribosomal RNA". It matches the Rfam family "Bacterial small subunit ribosomal RNA", at positions 899 to 1397 of the family's 1533-position model. The record is from RNAcentral.
ACUCAAAUGAAUAGACGGGGGCUCACACAAGCGGUGGAGCAUGUGGCUUAAUUCGAAGCAACGCGAAGAACCUUAUCCUGGGCUUGACAUGCACGGAUUAACUCCCUGAAAGGGGAGCCACACCUUCGGGUGGAACGUGCACAGGUGCUGCAUGGCUGUCGUCAGCUCGUGCUGUGAAGUGUUGGGUUAAGUCCCUUAACGAGCGAAACCCCUAUCGUCAGUUGCCAACAGGUUAUGCUGGGGACUCUGGCGAGACUGCCGGCGUCAAGUCGGAGGAAGGUGGGGAUGACGUCAAGUCCGCAUGGCCUUUAUGCCCAGGGCUGCACACGUGCUACAAUGGCGCGCACAGAACGAUGCAAGACCGCAAGGUGGAGCAAAUCGCCUAAAUCGCGCCCCAGUUCGGAUUGGAGGCUGCAACCCGCCUCCAUGAAGUCGGAAUCGCUAGUAAUCGCGGAUCAGCUACGCCGCGGUGAAUACGUUCCUGAGCCUUGUACACACCGCCCGU